Molecule: ribosomal RNA, 429 nt
Filed under: Chloroflexota bacterium
Lineage: Bacteria; Bacillati; Chloroflexota
Description: Chloroflexi bacterium partial 16S ribosomal RNA
Rfam family: Bacterial small subunit ribosomal RNA
Source: RNAcentral
UGGGGAAUAUUGCACAAUGGGCGCAAGCCUGAUGCAGCCAUGCCGCGUGUGUGAAGAAGGCCUUCGGGUUGUAAAGCUCUUUCAGCGGGGAGGAAGGCGUUAAGGUUAAUAACCUUGGCGAUUGACGUUACCCGCAGAAGAAGCACCGGCUAACUCCGUGCCAGCAGCCGCGGUAAUACGGAGGGUGCAAGCGUUAAUCGGAAUUACUGGGCGUAAAGCGCACGCAGGCGGUCUGUCAAGUCGGAUGUGAAAUCCCCGGGCUCAACCUGGGAAGUGCAUUCGAAACUGGCAGGCUAGAGUCUUGUAGAGGGGGGUAGAAUUCCAGGUGUAGCGGUGAAAUGCGUAGAGAUCUGGAGGAAUACCGGUGGCGGAGGCGGCCCCCUGGACAAAGACUGACGCUCAGGUGCGAAAGCGUGGGGAGCAAACAGG